GCGCCUAUAGCUCAGAUGGAUAGAGCGCGGCCCUCCUAAGGCUGAUAGGGUGGUUCGAGUCCACCUAGGCGCA
This 73-nucleotide transfer RNA is filed under the name Candidatus Omnitrophota bacterium. Its description in RNAcentral is "Candidatus Omnitrophica bacterium (sediment metagenome) tRNA-Arg". It matches the Rfam family "tRNA". Rfam says of the family: Transfer RNA (tRNA) molecules are approximately 80 nucleotides in length. Their secondary structure includes four short double-helical elements and three loops (D, anti-codon, and T loops). The record is from RNAcentral. Lineage: Bacteria; Pseudomonadati; Candidatus Omnitrophota.